UACGUAGGGUGCAAGCGUUAAUCGGAAUUACUGGGCGUAAAGCGUGCGCAGGCGGUUUUGUAAGUCUGUCGUGAAAGCCCCGGGCUCAACCUGGGAAUUGCGAUGGAGACUGCAAGGCUUGAAUCUGGCAGAGGGGGGUAGAAUUCCACGUGUAGCAGUGAAAUGCGUAGAGAUGUGGAGGAACACCGAUGGCGAAGGCAGCCCCCUGGGUCAAGAUUGACGAUCAUGCACGAAAGCGUGGGGAGCAAACAGG
RNAcentral lists this ribosomal RNA (253 nucleotides) under uncultured bacterium. RNAcentral describes it as "partial 16S ribosomal RNA". It matches the Rfam family "Bacterial small subunit ribosomal RNA", at positions 524 to 776 of the family's 1533-position model. The record is from RNAcentral.